Molecule: ribosomal RNA, 1218 nt
Filed under: Salmonella enterica
Lineage: Bacteria; Pseudomonadati; Pseudomonadota; Gammaproteobacteria; Enterobacterales; Enterobacteriaceae
Description: partial 23S ribosomal RNA
Rfam family: Bacterial large subunit ribosomal RNA
Source: RNAcentral
GGGUUGUGAGGUUAAGCGACUAAGCGUACACGGUGGAUGCCCUGGCAGUCAGAGGCGAUGAAGGACGUGCUAAUCUGCGAUAAGCGCCGGUAAGGUGAUAUGAACCGUUAUAACCGGCGAUUUCCGAAUGGGGAAACCCAGUGUGAUUCGUCACACUAUCAUUAACUGAAUCCAUAGGUUAAUGAGGCGAACCGGGGGAACUGAAACAUCUAAGUACCCCGAGGAAAAGAAAUCAACCGAGAUUCCCCCAGUAGCGGCGAGCGAACGGGGAGGAGCCCAGAGCCUGAAUCAGCAUGUGUGUUAGUGGAAGCGUCUGGAAAGGCGCGCGAUACAGGGUGACAGCCCCGUACACAAAAGCGCAUGUGCUGUGAGCUCGAUGAGUAGGGCGGGACACGUGGUAUCCUGUCUGAAUAUGGGGGGACCAUCCUCCAAGGCUAAAUACUCCUGACUGACCGAUAGUGAACCAGUACCGUGAGGGAAAGGCGAAAAGAACCCCGGCGAGGGGAGUGAAAAAGAACCUGAAACCGUGUACGUACAAGCAGUGGGAGCACAGGUUUACCUGUGUGACUGCGUACCUUUUGUAUAAUGGGUCAGCGACUUAUAUUCUGUAGCAAGGUUAACCGUAUAGGGGAGCCGUAGGGAAACCGAGUCUUAACCGGGCGUUAAGUUGCAGGGUAUAGACCCGAAACCCGGUGAUCUAGCCAUGGGCAGGUUGAAGGUUGGGUAACACUAACUGGAGGACCGAACCGACUAAUGUUGAAAAAUUAGCGGAUGACCUGUGGCUGGGGGUGAAAGGCCAAUCAAACCGGGAGAUAGCUGGUUCUCCCCGAAAGCUAUUUAGGUAGCGCCUCGUGAACUCAUCUCCGGGGGUAGAGCACUGUUUCGGCUAGGGGGCCAUCCCGGCUUACCAACCCGAUGCAAACUGCGAAUACCGGAGAAUGUUAUCACGGGAGACACACGGCGGGUGCUAACGUCCGUCGUGAAGAGGGAAACAACCCAGACCGCCAGCUAAGGUCCCAAAGUCAUGGUUAAGUGGGAAACGAUGUGGGAAGGCCCAGACAGCCAGGAUGUUGGCUUAGAAGCAGCCAUCAUUUAAAGAAAGCGUAAUAGCUCACUGGUCGAGUCGGCCUGCGCGGAAGAUGUAACGGGGCUAAACCAUGCACCGAAGCUGCGGCAGCGACACUCAGGUGUUGUUGGGUAGGGGAGCGUUCUGUAAGC